AGAGAUGUGUGAUGACGCAUAUCAAUAAGCGGAGGAAAAGAAACUAACAAGGAUUCCCUUAGUAACGGCGAGCGAAGCGGGAAGAGCUCAAAUUUGAAAUCUUCAAGGUUCUACCUUGACGAAUUGUAGUUUAAAGAAGUGUUUUCUGUUGAAGUUUCGGUAAAAGUUCUUUGGAAUAGGACAUCAUAGAGGGUGAGAAUCCCGUAUUUGACCAGUUAUUUUCCAGCUGUGUGAUACACUUUCAAAGAGUCGGAUUGUUUGGGAAUGCAGUCCAAAAUGGGUGGUAAAUUUCAUCUAAAGCUAGAUAUUGGCGAGAGACCGAUAGCGAACAAGUACCGUGAGGGAAAGAUGAAAAGAACUUUGAAAAGAGAGUUAAACAGUACGUGAAAUUGUCAAAAGGGAAGCGUUUGACACCAGUGUUGUUUUUCCGAAAGUCAAUUACGAAUGUUUUGUUUUUGAGGAGUUAUGACUUCAUCGGCUUGCUUCUCUCUUUAUGAAACUUUCUUAAUGCACUUUUCGGUUAACAAGUCAACAUCAAUUUCUUUUGUUGUAAAAGAGUAUGAGGAAGGUGGCUUUCUUUUCGGAGAAAGUGUUUAUAGCCUUGUAGCCUCUGCAAUCGGAGAGAUUGAGGUCUGCAGCGUAGAUCCUUCGGGGUUAGAUACAUUUGUGCUAAGUUAUAGCUUUUCAUAGACAACUUGUUGACUAUGUUUAGUCUUGUAGCUUACUCGCUUAUGCUAUUUUACCUACGCUUAGGAUGUUGAAGAUGUAGCACAUCA
RNAcentral lists this ribosomal RNA (776 nucleotides) under uncultured Neocallimastigales. RNAcentral's name for it is "partial large subunit ribosomal RNA". It matches the Rfam family "Eukaryotic large subunit ribosomal RNA", at positions 23 to 642 of the family's 3401-position model. The record is from RNAcentral. Lineage: Eukaryota; Fungi; Neocallimastigomycota; Neocallimastigomycetes; Neocallimastigales.